Molecule: ribosomal RNA, 402 nt
Filed under: uncultured Eubacteriales bacterium
Lineage: Bacteria; Bacillati; Bacillota; Clostridia; Eubacteriales
Description: uncultured Clostridiales bacterium partial 16S ribosomal RNA
Rfam family: Bacterial small subunit ribosomal RNA
Source: RNAcentral
UGGGGAAUAUUGCACAAUGGGGGAAACCCUGAUGCAGCAACGCCGCGUGAGUGAUGAAGGCCUUCGGGUUGUAAAGCUCUGUCUUUGGGGACGAUAAUGACGGUACCCAAGGAGGAAGCCACGGCUAACUACGUGCCAGCAGCCGCGGUAAUACGUAGGUGGCAAGCGUUGUCCGGAUUUACUGGGCGUAAAGGGAGCGUAGGCGGACUUUUAAGUGGGAUGUGAAAUACUCGGGCUCAACCCGAGUGCUGCAUUCCAAACUGGAAGUCUAGAGUGCAGGAGGGGAAAGUGGAAUUCCUAGUGUAGCGGUGAAAUGCGUAGAUAUUAGGAAGAACACCGGUGGCGAAGGCGACUUUCUGGACUGUAACUGACGCUGAGGCUCGAAAGCGUGGGGAGCGAACA